UACGGGGGGGGUAAGCGUUGUUCGGAAUUACUGGGCGUAAAGGGCUCGUAGGCGGCCAACUAAGUCGGACGUGAAAUCCCUCAGCUUAACUGGGGAACUGCGUCCGAUACUGGAUGGCUUGGAUUUGGGAGAGGGAUGCGGAAUUCCAGGUGUAGCGGUGAAAUGCGUAGAUAUCUGGAGGAACACCGAUGGCGAAGGCAGCCCCCUGGGCCGACAUUGACGCUCAGGCACGAAAGCGUGGGGAGCAAACAGG
RNAcentral lists this ribosomal RNA (253 nucleotides) under uncultured bacterium. RNAcentral's name for it is "partial 16S ribosomal RNA". It matches the Rfam family "Bacterial small subunit ribosomal RNA", at positions 524 to 776 of the family's 1533-position model. The record is from RNAcentral.